RNAcentral lists this unclassified non-coding RNA (253 nucleotides) under uncultured Enterobacteriaceae bacterium. RNAcentral describes it as "contains 16S-23S intergenic spacer region". It matches the Rfam family "Bacterial small subunit ribosomal RNA", at positions 524 to 776 of the family's 1533-position model. Lineage: Bacteria; Pseudomonadati; Pseudomonadota; Gammaproteobacteria; Enterobacterales; Enterobacteriaceae. The record is from RNAcentral.
UACGGAGGGUGCAGGCGUUAAUCGGAAUUACUGGGCGUAAAGCGCACGCAGGCGGUCUGUCAAGUCGGAUGUGAAAUCCCCGGGCUCAACCUGGGAACUGCAUUUGGAACUGGCAAGCUAGAGUCUUGGAGAGGGGGGUAGGAUUCCAGGUGUAGCGGUGAAAUGCGUAGAGAUCUGGAGGAAUACCGGUGGCGAAGGCGGCCCCCUGGACAAAGACGGACGCUCAGGUGCGAAAGCGUGGGGAGCAAACAGG